This 415-nucleotide ribosomal RNA is filed under the name uncultured bacterium. RNAcentral describes it as "bacterial SSU rRNA". It matches the Rfam family "Bacterial small subunit ribosomal RNA", at positions 791 to 1214 of the family's 1533-position model. The record is from RNAcentral.
UAGUCCACACCGUAAACGAUGCAUGCUCGGCGUCGGGGAACUCGACCUUUCCUCGGUGUCCAAGGUAACCCGUUAAGCAUGCCGCCUGUGUAGUACGAGCGCAAGCUUAAAACACAAAGGAAUAGACGGGGACCCACACAAGCGGUGGAACAUGGGGUUUAAUUCGUCAAUAAGCGAGUAACCUUACCCAGACUUGACAUCCUAAUCGCACUUUCUGGAGACAGAUUGGUCAGUUCGGCUGGAUUAGUGACAGGCGUUGCAUGGUUGCCGUCAGCUCGUGCCUUGAGGUGUUCGGUUAAGUCCGUUAACGAGCGCAACCCUCGUCGUAUGUUGUAUUUUCAUUACGAGACUGCCCGGUAUAACCGGGAGGAAGGUGAGGAUGACGUCAAAUCAGCAUGACCCUUAUGUCUGGGGG